AUCCCGCGGAAAGCUAACGACUUGAAUCCCGGAGCGAGACCGGGGCGGGAG
Molecule: non-coding RNA, 51 nt
Submitted as: unclassified sequences
Source: Rfam